RNAcentral lists this ribosomal RNA (393 nucleotides) under Psorodonotus specularis. RNAcentral's name for it is "partial 16S ribosomal RNA". It matches the Rfam family "Bacterial large subunit ribosomal RNA", at positions 1920 to 2525 of the family's 2925-position model. The record is from RNAcentral. Lineage: Eukaryota; Metazoa; Arthropoda; Insecta; Orthoptera; Tettigoniidae.
AAAUUAAAGGGCCGCGGUAUUUUGACCGUGCAAAGGUAGCAUAAUCAUUAGUCUUUUAAUUGGAGGCUGGAAUGAAUGGUUUGACGAAAUAUUGACUGUCUCUUUAUGAUAAAUAUAAUUUAACUUCUGAGUCAAAAGGCUUAGAUAAAUAUAAAAGACGAGAAGACCCUAUAGAUCUUUAUACAAGGAUAUAUUUAUUUUGUUUAGGUUAAUUUUUAAUAGAUGUGUUGUUGUAUUCUGUUGGGGUGACAUGAAGAUAAAAAUAACUCUUUAUUAUUAAUACAUUGAUUUAUGAAUGAUUGAUCCAUUAUUAGUGAUUAUAAGAUAAAGUUACCUUAGGGAUAACAGCGUAAUUUUUUUUGAGAGUUCUUAUCGACAAAAAAGAUUGCGACC